GCCUUCGUAGUGUAAUGGUCAGCACACUCGGCGAGUAUUCGAGAGGUUCGAGUCCUGGCGACGGCA
RNAcentral lists this transfer RNA (66 nucleotides) under Stegodyphus mimosarum. It matches the Rfam family "tRNA". Rfam says of the family: Transfer RNA (tRNA) molecules are approximately 80 nucleotides in length. Their secondary structure includes four short double-helical elements and three loops (D, anti-codon, and T loops). Lineage: Eukaryota; Metazoa; Arthropoda; Arachnida; Araneae; Eresidae. The record is from Rfam by way of RNAcentral.